UGCCAAUUCUUAUGUUUUGUACAAUAAGAGAUGAGGUGUAAAGGUGUUUCGUGUUCAAUAGGAGCACAGCUUAAUUAUUAUUGAGUGAGUGCUCAGAGAAGGUGACAAGCCUGUGUAGUUGUGCUUCCCUGUUGAACUGCAACACUGAAGAGUCUAGUUGUUUGAGAGUACAACUUAAAGCUGGUGGUAAAUUUCAUCAAAGGCUAAAUAUAUGAGGGGACUAAUAGCGAACAAGUACCAUGAGGGAAAGUUGAAAAGAACUCUGACGAGAGAGUUCAAUAGUACGUGAAACCAUAUUGAGUAAAACAGAUAACUGUGCUGUUAUGUGGUGUGCCUAUCAACAGUUUAUUUGGUGUUGUGAUGCCUUGAGUGUAGGUUGUCUAUUCAGCUGAUUGCUCGAGGUUGGCAUAACCAGACAUUCUGUGCAAUAGUGCGCACUCGAUCAUUGAGAAACUAUGCUGCUGCGGCAUCGGAAUGUAACAGUCCGUACUUAGUGCAAAGUUGCAUGCUGGGUGCAGCUGGCUGGCGUGGUUUAGCUGUGUGACAGCUGUGGGCUGCGUUUAUGACAGGUUUCUGCUGUAUCUGCGAAUUGGUUUAUUCCUUUUUGCGGCGAGCACGUGAUCGUCAGUAAGCGGCCUGCCAUCAAUGCUUAGCAUUAGUUAUUUGACCCGUCUUGAAACACGGACCAAGGAGUUCAAAUGGCACGCGAGUCAUUGGGUUUUGGCACCCGAAGGCGAAGUGAAAUGCAAACAUAUUGUUAUUUGUGGUUGUUCCAUGAUUAAGCGAUAAGCUACUCAUGCUUUCCGGCAUUUGUAGACUACAAGCGUGAUGU
RNAcentral lists this ribosomal RNA (832 nucleotides) under Androlaelaps sp. 3 APGD-2010. RNAcentral's name for it is "eukaryotic LSU rRNA". It matches the Rfam family "Eukaryotic large subunit ribosomal RNA", at positions 112 to 808 of the family's 3401-position model. The record is from RNAcentral. Lineage: Eukaryota; Metazoa; Arthropoda; Arachnida; Mesostigmata; Laelapidae.